RNAcentral lists this long non-coding RNA (3212 nucleotides) under Pelobates cultripes (western spadefoot toad). Lineage: Eukaryota; Metazoa; Chordata; Amphibia; Anura; Pelobatidae. The record is from RNAcentral.
CACACAAAGGGGCUUGGGGAGGAAAGUUUGCAAUUUUUGUUUGGGGGGCGGGAUUGCAAGUACCUGGUCUUGCCUAGGGCAAAAAAUAGGGCACAAAAAAUACCGGUCCUGCCUGAAUAUCUCUUUAUGUGCAGCAUUUCAAACUGAAAAUGAAUAGACAGACCUACGUGAAAGGGUGGAUUCUUAGAGUCUCAAAAUAAACUGGUUUAUAAACAGGGUGAAUGUGAAAUAUACGGUACUCUGAGGUCAGUUGGGAGCUGGUUACUUCACAUUACAUACAAUUUAAUGAUACCCGUGUCCUGUAAUUGGUGCCCUGCCGUACAGUAUUCCUACCAUGGCUAUUAUUAUGGUAUGUCUUACAGAGAGCUUAUGUUAACAGUUCAAAAUAUUUAUUGAAUGUGCAUUAGUUCCCAGUGUACAAAUAUAUAUGAUGUAAAACCAAAACGAAAAACACACAGAAAAGUAGUAAAUCUCCUCUGCACGUAGCCUUUAUGCCGCAACUCCUAUAAAGAAGAAAAAAUAAUUAAGUGCUCAGUGGUUACUUAUUGUAGCCGAUAGAUUCACUGCUGGUUCUAUAGUUCCAAAUUCCAUCUUCAUCACAAUUCUAGUAAAAGAACCACACUUAGCAAUCAGUAAGCUCCAAAUCUCUCCACAAGGUGGAUCCUUAAAAGUACUCCGUUUAUUGAAUAAUAUGCAACAUGGCACAAAAAAUACACACACACCUCAUAAGUAACUUGCAAUCUAGAUAAAUCGUAGAUUAAUUUACAAUAAAUAAAUUAAUCAAUGUCCUGGUGACUUUAGAGUGACUUCAGUAGAUAAAUAAUUUGGAAAGUUUUUAUUAAUAGAUUGGAUUAAUUUGAAAGGCUUGUCCAAAAUGAUUAAAUCAAAUUGUUAGUUAUAUAGGUAUACAGUACUUGUUAGGGAACAAACCGAUACAUGUUAAUACAUGGAAAAUGACUACAAUUAACACUCAGUAUAUAUUACAUAGUAACAUAGAUUUAAAAGAAAAAACACUCAAGUUCAUGAAUAUAAUUAAAUCCCAGUUUUUGCCUUAAAUUCAAAAUAAGGUAAAAAACAAUCACCGAGUGUGAUUCUGGGUGUGUUUAAUAAUAUCCAUAUUAAUUAUUAUAGCCCUGAUUAUCCUGCAUUGCUAAAAAAAAGAAUCCAAAGCAUUUUAACCCCUUAAGGACACAUGACGUGUGACAUGUCAUGAUUCCCUUUUAUUCCAGAAGUUUGGUCCUUAAGGGGUUAAAUAAUCAACUACAUUUGAUAAAACAGACUCUCCAAAUUCCCCCCUUUUCACUGUAAAAAAACAUAUUCUAUGCUUUCUUCUUCAUAACCAAACUCUUAAACCUCCCCCCCCAUGCCAGUAUUUCCCGAUAGUACUGUUAGGGCAAGCAAGCCUGUUAUGGUAAUAGGAACCAGGUAUACAGGGAAUGGUCUAGCUGUGUAACCAUUCUCCACCCCAGGAUGAGCUGCAUUGCCGUGCCUUGUAUUUAGGAGAGUAACCCAGCCCAAUACCCAGACCCAGGGCCUGUCGUGGGGAGCCAGGACAGGACACGGACAAUAAAGUUACGGUAACACAGGAAACAAAAUAACUGUAUCAGCUGUCAGGAACUCAGGGGGCUGGACUAAAAUACAAUCAGAUACCUACAAUAUGGCAAAGGCGGAGUCAAUCCUGGAAUAAUGUUCGAGGGGCGUCUGUAGAGACUGGGGAGAUGUUACGGGCAAAAAUAAAAAGGAUUUUCACUGUUUCUUGAUAUUCUGCAUUAUUUCAAACUGUCCCAGCUAUCCAGGCAUCGGCCAUGCUUGCUUGUUCCAGCUUUGCCUUCCAUCAUUCCUUGUAGCAUUCCUUCAACCCCUCCUGUUUGGAACUGGAAGCACUGUGAAACCACAAUCUUUUCGUGGACAUCGUCUGCGAUACCUGAUCUUUGCCAGCUCACCCGUCAAAUAUUCCUGUUCUAUUUCUUCAGCCUCAGCCAAGUUCUUAUUAGGUUCUUAGAUUCCUAUUAAUAUGGCCAAUAAUUCAGUAAAAAUUAAAUCAUAAACAGCUGAAGGUAUACAUCCCAACAUUUCAAAUGGACAAAGAAGGACACUUUCAUUUUAGGGGUGUGAGUGGAGGUGUGGCUGUGGAGCUCUGUUAUACACUCAGACACACCAAUAAUAUGGAGCUCUUAGAACAGGUACAGAAAAGAGGGAUUUGGGACUGCCCAUCCUAAAUAGGGAUACUUGGGAGGUAUGGCUGAAGGACCAAUACAAGGCUCCAACUCUCUAGGAUAACAUAAUUUGAUAUUAACCCUAUUCACAGUUUACUUUCAAAAUCUAAAAGGGAAUCCCUAAAAUUGCUUCUCUAGACAGACUGUAAAUAAACCAGUACAUGUUCAAAGGCCUGGCUCUUGUCCUAGAAUAUAAAACACACACUGCCUGAUCUUAAUACAGGGAUGUCCAAUGAUAAUAAUUAUUCAAAGUAAACAUGCCCAGGGUUUGUUAACCUAUUCACACCGUUAGGACGUGGCAUUACAUCCUGAAUUUUAUAUAUAUAUAUUAAUAUCAAAAUGCAUUUAUAUAUAAAACAUGUCAUUGUAAGUGCAUUUACAUAUAAUUAUAUUAUUUAAUAAUUAUAUAUUGGGGGACCUGCCUGACAACCCAGGCAGAAAUUCCAUAGAAUGUAAUUUGUAAGCCCUUUAUUUAACCCUGCAACUUUCUAAGACACCGCAAAACCUGUACAUGGGAGAUACUGUUGUACUUGUGAGACAUCGCUGAACACAAAUAUAAGUGUUUCAGAGCAGUAAAACGUAUAAUGAUGAAUGCAAAAAACAAAUAUGAAUGUUAACUUUGACUAGCGUUUGUGACUAAGUGGCUAUUAAAAAAGACUGGACAUACCCCAUUUUAAAUACCCCGGGUUGUCUACUUUUGCAAAUGGUAUUCCAUGAUGGGGUUCAUUUUCAUUCCUGGGCUGCCAUACGGUCUCAAAGGCAACAUAACCAAUAUUGGCAAAUUUCAAUGUGUAGAAACUCUAUAUUUGACUCUGUAACUUUCCAAAACACCAUAAAACCUGUACAUGAAGUGUACUGUUGUACUCCUGGGACAUCACAGCAUACAAACGUGUAUUUUAUUGCAGUAAAAACUAACGGUAUUAUGACAUUCACAGUUAAUAUGCCGCGCAGAAUUUGUAAAAUAAGAUUUUGUAAUUUCUCCCUCUUUUUUAAAAU